RNAcentral lists this ribosomal RNA (386 nucleotides) under uncultured bacterium. RNAcentral's name for it is "bacterial SSU rRNA". It matches the Rfam family "Bacterial small subunit ribosomal RNA", at positions 28 to 416 of the family's 1533-position model. The record is from RNAcentral.
AUUGAACGCUGGCGGCAUGCUUUACACAUGCAAGUCGAGCGGCAGCGCGGGGGCAACCCUGGCGGCGAGCGGCGAACGGGUGAGUAAUGCAUCGGAACGUACCCUGGAGUGGGGGAUAACGCCGCGAAAGCGGCGCUAAUACCGCAUAUGCUCUGAGGAGGAAAGUGGGGGACCGCAAGGCCUCACGCUCUGGGAGCGGCCGAUGUCCGAUUAGCUAGUUGGUGGGGUAAAGGCUUACCAAGGCGACGAUCGGUAGCUGGUCUGAGAGGAUGAUCAGCCACACUGGGACUGAGACACGGCCCAGACUCCUACGGGAGGCAGCAGUGGGGAAUUUUGGACAAUGGGGGCAACCCUGAUCCAGCCAUGCCGCGUGAGUGAAGAAGGCC